UCUUCCGCAAUGGACGAAAGUCUGACGGAGCAACGCCGCGUGAGUGAUGAAGGUUUUCGGAUCGUAAAGCUCUGUUGUUAGGGAAGAANAAGUGCCGUUCAAAUAGGGCGGCACCUUGCCGGUACCUAACCAGAAAGCCACGGCUAACUACGUGCCAGCAGCCGCGGUAAUACGUAGGUGGCACGCGUGGUUCGGCAUUAUUGGGCGUAAAGGGCUCGCAGGCGGUUUCUUAGGUCUGAUGUGAAAGCCCCCGGCUCAACCGGGGAGGGUCAUUGGAAACUGGGGAACUUGAGUGCAGAAGAGGAGAGUGGAAUUCCACGUGUAGCGGUGAAAUGCGUAGAGAUGUGGAGGAACACCAGUGGCGAAGGCGACUCUCUGGUCUGUAACUGACGCUGAGGAGCGAAAGCGUGGGGAGCGAACAG
RNAcentral lists this ribosomal RNA (422 nucleotides) under uncultured bacterium. RNAcentral describes it as "bacterial SSU rRNA". It matches the Rfam family "Bacterial small subunit ribosomal RNA", at positions 362 to 775 of the family's 1533-position model. The record is from RNAcentral.